GGAUGCGAUCGUACCAGCACUAACGCACCGGAUCCCAUCAGAACUCCGAAGUUAAGCGUGCUUGGGCGAGAGUAGUACUAGGAUGGGUGACCCCAUGGGAAGUGCUCGUGUUGCAUCCC
Nicotiana attenuata is the source of this 119-nucleotide non-coding RNA. NCBI's taxonomy places the organism in Eukaryota, Viridiplantae, Streptophyta, Magnoliopsida, Solanales, Solanaceae. The record is from Rfam.